UACGUAGGGGGCAAGCGUUGUCCGGAUUUAUUGGGCGUAAAACGCUCGUAGGUGGCCACGUCAAGUCGGAUGUGAAAUCUCCCGGCUCAACUGGGAGGGGUCAUUCGAUACUGGCGGGCUCGAGACCGGUAGGGGGAAGUGGAAUUCCGAGUGUAGAGGUGAAAUUCGUAGAUAUUCGGAAGAACACCAGUGGCGAAGGCGGCUCACUGGACCGGCAUUGACGCUGAGGUGCGAAAGCGUGGGGAGCAAACAGG
RNAcentral lists this ribosomal RNA (254 nucleotides) under uncultured bacterium. RNAcentral's name for it is "partial 16S ribosomal RNA". It matches the Rfam family "Bacterial small subunit ribosomal RNA", at positions 524 to 776 of the family's 1533-position model. The record is from RNAcentral.